UCAGGAUGAACGCUGGCGGCGUGCCUAAUACAUGCAAGUCGAACGAAGCACCUCGGUGCUUAGUGGCGAACGGGUGAGUAACACGUGGGUAACCUGCCCUCAAGACGAGGAUAACCGUUGGAAACGAUGGCUAAGACUGGAUAGGAAUACGGGAGGCAUCUUCUGUAUUUUAAAAGACCUGGCAACAGGUAUGCUUGAGGAGGGGCCUGCGGCGCAUUAGUUAGUUGGUGAGGUGAUGGCUCACCAAGACGAUGAUGCGUAGCCGGACUGAGAGGUUGAACGGCCACAUUGGGACUGAGACACGGCCCAGACUCCUACGGGAGGCAGCAGUGGGGAAUAUUGCACAAUGGAGGAAACUCUUGAUGCAGCAACGCCGCGUGAAGGAUGACGGCCUUCGGGUUGUAAACUUCUUUGGCAGGGGACGAAGACAGUGACGGUACCCUGAGAACAAGCCACGGCUAACUACGUGCCAGCCGCCGC
Molecule: ribosomal RNA, 480 nt
Filed under: uncultured bacterium
Lineage: Bacteria
Description: bacterial SSU rRNA
Rfam family: Bacterial small subunit ribosomal RNA
Source: RNAcentral